This 498-nucleotide ribosomal RNA is filed under the name uncultured bacterium. Its description in RNAcentral is "partial 16S ribosomal RNA". It matches the Rfam family "Bacterial small subunit ribosomal RNA", at positions 29 to 523 of the family's 1533-position model. The record is from RNAcentral.
AUUGAACGCUGGCGGCAUGCCUUACACAUGCAAGUCGAACGGCAGCACGGGGGCAACCCUGGUGGCGAGUGGCGAACGGGUGAGUAAUGCAUCGGAACGUGUCCUCUUGUGGGGGAUAACCAGUCGAAAGAUUGGCUAAUACCGCAUGAGAUCGCAAGAUGAAAGCGGGGGACCGCAUGGCCUCGCGCGAGAGGAGCGGCCGAUGCCGGAGUAGCUAGUUGGUGGGGUAAAAGCCUACCAAGGCGACAAUCCGUAGCUGGUCUGAGAGGACGACCAGCCACACUGGGACUGAGACACGGCCCAGACUCCUACGGGAGGCAGCAGUGGGGAAUUUUGGACAAUGGGCGCAAGCCUGAUCCAGCCAUGCCGCGUGUGAAGAAGGCCUUCGGGUUGUAAGGCACUUUCGGACGGAACGAAAUCGCGCGGGCGAACAUCCCGCGUGGAUGACGGUACCGUAAGAAGAAGCACCGGCUAACUACGUGCCAGCCGCCGCGGUAA